ACUGGUUAUACUGGGACCGGAGAGGCUCGGUGGACUGGUUAUACUGGGACCAGAACGGCUGAGUGGACUGUACUGGGACCAGAGAGGCUCGAUGGACUGGUUAUACUGGGACCAGAGAGGCUCGGUGGACUGGUUAUGUUUUGCAGCAGAGAAGUUGAACCUCCUGGAGACUCACCUGAUGACGUUCAGACAGGUUACUGAACCUGUCUCUGAUCUCUGACCUGGUCCCAGAGCAGGACGUGAUCGACGUCAUCAUCCACGUUGGCAGAAACCCGCAAGGUCGAAACCUCGCCUGGAAGAACUUCAGAGAAAAGUGGGACAUCCUCAACGCCCGUUAUGGUGAAGCGUUGUUCACGAAUUCGAAGCUCAUCGGUGGGAG
Molecule: long non-coding RNA, 379 nt
Organism: Sebastes umbrosus (honeycomb rockfish)
Lineage: Eukaryota; Metazoa; Chordata; Actinopteri; Perciformes; Sebastidae
Exons: 3
Source: RefSeq, a predicted model, not a curated record